GGAGUUAGCCGGUGCUUCUUCUGUGAGUGAUGUCCUUCCUGCCGGCUAUUAACCCGCAGGCCUUCUUCCUCACUGAAAGUGCUUUACAACCCGAAGGCCUUCUUCACACACGCGGCAUGGCUGGAUCAGGGUUGCCCCCAUUGUCCAAUAUUCCCCACUGCUGCCUCCCGUAGGAGUCUGGGCCGUGUCUCAGUCCCAGUGUGGCUGAUCAUCCUCUCAGACCAGCUACGGAUCGUCGCCUUGGUGAGCCGUUACCUCACCAACCAGCUAAUCCGACAUAGGCUCAUCCGAUAGCGCGAGGCCCGAAGGUCCCCCGCUUUCCCCCGUAGGGCGUAUGCGGUAUUAGCCUGGGUUUCCCCAGGUUAUCCCCCACUACCGGGCAGAUUCCUAUGCAUUACUCACCCGUCCGCCGCUCGCCACCAGGGAGCAAGCUCCCCGUGCUGCCGCUCGACUUGCNUGUGUAGCUGCCGCCACGCGUCAUCUGAGCCACUAAUACAACUACUCGA
RNAcentral lists this ribosomal RNA (506 nucleotides) under uncultured bacterium. RNAcentral describes it as "partial 16S ribosomal RNA". The record is from RNAcentral.